This 492-nucleotide ribosomal RNA is filed under the name uncultured bacterium. RNAcentral describes it as "partial 16S ribosomal RNA". It matches the Rfam family "Bacterial small subunit ribosomal RNA", at positions 29 to 507 of the family's 1533-position model. The record is from RNAcentral.
AGUGAACGCUGGCGGUAGGCCUAACACAUGCAAGUCGAACGGCAGCACAGUAAGAGCUUGCUCUUACGGGUGGCGAGUGGCGGACGGGUGAGGAAUACAUCGGAAUCUACUUUUUCGUGGGGGGUAACGUAGGGAAACUUACGCUAAUACCGCAUACGACCUACGGGUGAAAGCAGGGGAUCUUCGGACCUUGCGCGAUUGAAUGAGCCGAUGUCGGAUUAGCUAGUUGGCGGGGUAAAGGCCCACCAAGGCGACGAUCCGUAGCUGGUCUGAGAGGAUGAUCAGCCACACUGGAACUGAGACACGGUCCAGACUCCUACGGGAGGCAGCAGUGGGGAAUAUUGGACAAUGGGCGCAAGCCUGAUCCAGCCAUACCGCGUGGGUGAAGAAGGCCUUCGGGCUGUAAAGCCCUUUUGUUGGGAAAGAAAAGCAGCAGGUUAAUACCCCGCUGUUCUGACGGUACCCAAAGAAUAAGCACCGGCUAACUUCGUG